RNAcentral lists this ribosomal RNA (561 nucleotides) under Botryosphaeria dothidea. RNAcentral describes it as "eukaryotic LSU rRNA". The stretch from base 187 to 340 matches the Rfam family "5.8S ribosomal RNA". The record is from RNAcentral. Lineage: Eukaryota; Fungi; Ascomycota; Dothideomycetes; Botryosphaeriales; Botryosphaeriaceae.
GGCAACCAAGCUGCUAGUCAGGCUCGGCCCGAUCCUCCCACCCUUUGUGUACCUACCUCUGUUGCUUUGGCGGGCCGCGGUCCUCCGCGGCCGCCCCCCUCCCCGGGGGGGUGGCCAGCGCCCGCCAGAGGACCAUCAAACUCCAGUCAGUAAACGAUGCAGUCUGAAAAACAUUUAAUAAACUAAAACUUUCAACAACGGAUCUCUUGGUUCUGGCAUCGAUGAAGAACGCAGCGAAAUGCGAUAAGUAAUGUGAAUUGCAGAAUUCAGUGAAUCAUCGAAUCUUUGAACGCACAUUGCGCCCUUUGGUAUUCCGAAGGGCAUGCCUGUUCGAGCGUCAUUACAACCCUCAAGCUCUGCUUGGUAUUGGGCACCGUCCUUUGCGGGCGCGCCUCAAAGACCUCGGCGGUGGCGUCUUGCCUCAAGCGUAGUAGAACAUACAUCUCGCUUCGGAGCGCAGGGCGUCGCCCGCCGGACGAACCUUCUGAACUUUUCUCAAGGUUGACCUCGGAUCAGGUAGGGAUACCCGCUGAACUUAAGCAUAUCAAUAAGCCGGAGGAA